AACGUUCGACGAAGACGUCAUCUCGACCAUCCACGUGUCCCGAUGAAGGACAGGAAAUCCGGCUAACCGCUUUGCAUCCGUCCAUCUUGUCGUCUGCGGAGGCUCCACUCAUCCUCUCUUUCUCCUCUCUCUCUCUCUCUCUGUGUCUCGAUCCGGGGAGGAAGAACCCUAACCCUAGCCAUGCCCAUCUGUGUUACGCUCUCUCCCUUUCUCCAAAGCCCACGAGAGAUCCGAGACAAAGAACCCUAACCGUAGCGAUGGCCUUUUGCCUCCGAGCUCCUCCCUCAUCGCCCUUCUAGUACUUAUCUUCUAGCCGUCCCGCAAUGCAAACGGCCUCUGCCGUCUAGCUUCGAACUUCCUGUUGGGAACUCGGGGAGGCUUCGCCAAAUGGAAUCAAAAAAAUCGAGUAAGCUCAGUCUUCCCCCCAUUUUGUUCCUCUGUUUUUUCCCAAACAAUGUCAUGCAAAAUAUGGUAAUUUUUGAACUAUUUUAGGACCAAUAUAUUCGAUUAAGUAAAGAAGUAAGCGUCACUCGAAUCAAGUAUGUUCUUUGACAUGGAUUCCUGCUUUAGUUGCACUUCUCUUCGGUUUUACUUCUCCAUCUCAUUCUAGAUGAUGAAUUCUUAUGUUGCUGUGAUCUGCAAGGAACUAUUAGUAGACAAUAUGAUAGUAUAUGAUCUUCAUGUUCUCGUGUUCCUCAUUUUCAGAAGUCAAAUUUACAUUAUCAGUAAUCCUAGUUCUAUUUGCAAGAAAUUGAUGGUCAUUAGACAGAUUCAAUCAAGCCAAUAAUUCAAACCUAAUCUAAAAUUUAAAGUAUAGGCCAGACAAAUCUCUAUGCCUUGAUCAUACAGUUAUCAAAGAAAAUAAUCUGGUGGCAAAACCUUGAGUGGAUAGAUUGGUGACCGACAUUGUUAAAAGGAUGAAUCCAUUACACGAGACUACUAUUAAUAUGCCAUUACUUUGUUUUCUAGACUUGAACAAUGGUCUGUUGGUGUUAUGAAGAAUAUGAUUUUGUAGAGAUUGUCUGUUGGUGUUAAUCAGGUUUCAUCUCUCAAGUUCCAAUUGAAUAAUUUGAAUGAUAUGGUUGAUAAAUGUGAAGAUCUCUUUAUGAGCAACCAAACUAUUUUAGAUAGAGACAUGGACCAAUUUUCAUAGGGUUAUAUUGAAGAAAUAAUUCACAGCUACUACUUAGGUAACAUUUUUAGUUUUCAUGAGAAGAAUAUUUCACAUUGUUACUCUAAAAUCGAUAACUUUCUCAGCACUGGAUUUGUAUGAUCAAAAAUUUAAUUAUCUUAUCUUGUUAUAUGACAAACAAUUUAACUUAAUGAUACCUUCAUUCAAAUGUGAGAGUGCUUAAACUGGAUCGGGAAUAGUUUAACCAGUUUCCGAAAAGAUUCAGAUAGAAAAGUAGGUACUUGAUUUAUGUCUGAAUUCAGGCAUAAUUUGUAACCAACCUUUUUAUCAUCGACUCAUUGUCACCAUAAGGUUUAAAUCUAACAUCUGAUUGAUAAUGAAUAAUUGCGGCUAUUCCACCAUAAGUCUAUAAAACUUUCCAUGUUCAUAUAAAACAGGGUGAGGUAAAACUACAAAGCCUGUCCCUCUUACAUGUAUGAACAUAUAUUUGACGUUCUAUAGAACCUUGCUUCACAUCCUUCCAACCUGAAGGCUGUUAAACUCAGGUUUUCUGUUUAUUUCAUUCAUAAAUAUUUCAUUGUUGAUUUCUAUAUUUAUCUGAGUAAAUAAAUUGUUGGAACAACUUGUUGGACUUCAUAUUUCAUAAUUAUUUCUUAUUUCAUAUUCAUAUUCAUAUUUAUCUAUAUUUCAUAAUUAUUUCUGGACUUCUUACAACUUGUUGGAACAACUGAAAAUGUUUCAUACAUGUUGUAUAUGUGCUCUCAUAUCCUACCUGGCAAGAAGAAUCACCAGAUGCUUAUUAGAGGUGAACCAACCAUAUGAUAAAGAAUUUAAUUAUCUUAUCCGUUUAGAUAACAAAUAAUUUAACUUAAUGAUUACCUUCAUUCAAAUGCGAGAGUUCUUCUCGCAAAAGAAAAAAGAAAAAAGUGAGAGUUCUUCUUGGGUAUUUGGGUCUACCCAAAAUCUGCUUAAACAGGGAUCGGGAAUAGGUUAACCAGUUUCCAAAAGGAUUCAGGUACAUAAGUAGGUACUUGAAUUAUGUUUGAAUUCAGGCAUAAUUUGCAACCAACCUUUUUUAUCAUCGACUUAUUGUCACCAUCAGGCUUAAAUCAAACACCUGAUUGCUAAUGAAUAAUUGGAGCUAUUCCACCAUAAGUGUAUAGAACUUUCCAUGUUCAUAUAAAACAGGGUGAAGUAUAACUACAGAGUCUGUUCCUGUUACUUUCUGUAAAUCUUUUGCUUCACAUCCUUACAACUUGAAGACUGUUAAACUCAGGUUUUAAUGUACUCGUAUUAUUCCUGAACUUGUUACAACUUGUUGGUAAUGAGAGAGGAUAACAUCGAGAGAGAAGAUGAUGACGACCAAAGAAAAGAAAGAGACUUGAACGCCAAAGAGAGAGCUGUGCCAAAAGUGGGAGAGUGGAAGACGAUAUAAAAGGGGACGACAACAAGAGGAUGAUGGGGUAACAAAUGAAAGAUUAGUCCAAUCCAAUUAUUGAUAACUAUAAUUCAAAAAUAUUCCUCUAACAUUUCAUGAGGAUAAUUUCAUUGAGUUGCAGUACAUUUAAUGAGUAUUUUUUUUAUAUAUAUUUCAUGCCACAUAAUGCUUGUUUCUAGCUCUUGUCAUCCAAUGACCCAACUUAGCCUAGAUAAUCUUCAAUCUUGGAUAUAAAAUCUAACAAAUCAUAAAACAUAAAUCACAUGUUUUGCCCCAAGAUGAGACCAAGUCAACCUCAACUCUGACAUCUACAUGUCAGAGUUAUCUCCCAGGAGGGGUUUUUUUUUUUUUUUUUUGUUAGUACCUAAAUAACAUUAUCCUAAUCAAAUUGAUCGGACAACCCAUUGCAUGAGCAGGAGUUCCAAACCCUUGUAAAAUUUUGGAGAUGCAGAUGCAUGCACACCCACCUGGGUUUGUGACUGCCAGUUCCUCCUCACAAAUUUUAGCUCUCAGUUUACCAUCACAUGCAGUGGACGCAAGAGACAAAGGAGUAGAAUGGGGCAUUCAUCAUGUCCAUCCACCAACCAAACUGCCCUAAGUGCAACUCACAAAGAAGACAAGUCGAAGCUUCUGUAUCACGUCCAUCACCUCUUUGAACAUGGAGGUUUUGUACCUUCAUAUAUAAACACACACACACACACACACACACACACACACCCCCCUUUAUCUUGUUAGGGUUUCUGAAGCGACUGCAUGCAUUGGUUUACCUGCAGUGGAAUCAAUGGAGGAGGCUGAGAGUUUCCAAGGGCUUGACGGCUUGGAGCUUCUGAGGAGGAGGAGGAGGAGGAGGCAAUGAGUGCACGUACUUGCAGUUCGGACAUGAAGGAGAUGACUUGCGCAGCAUGACGAGGAGAUGGCAGUUCACACAGACUAAUGCCAUCAUGCUGCUGCCACUUGAGCUGCACUGUUUCUUCGUCUCUGAGCUCCCAAAGGUUGAGAUGUUAAGCUCCAACUUCAUCGACUUCUCCUCGAGCCUCACCCAACUCUUCUUCAUCGUCUUCCUGUUCAAGUAGUACAUGUUCCCCGACUGCCACAAAUCAAGGUUACAACACUGAGAUGCCAUUUAGCUGUGUGAUAUAUGAGAAGAACAGGGAGGGAGGUAGGGAGGGAGAGAGAGAGAGAGAGAGAAGGUGUUCACUUGUAAGUCCAGGCAUUGUUCCCAUUCUAAAGGGAGGGGAUGAUUGAGGUGGAGAUCAAUCCCAUGAUCCCAAGUCUGCUGCAUCUUCCUUUUCCUCUUAGCAAUCGCAUCUGAUUCCGUAGAUGCACUACUCGUGAUCUCACUCAUCAUCGAUCCAGGAAGGCCAAGCGAGAGCUCGGCAUGAUCCAUAGCCUCACUCCCCCUCACCUGCUUCUUCCUCCUGGAAGAACUCUUUCUCGAGCUGUACGCACUCUUUCAUGUACUAAGUCUGCCACAAGGCAUAUUUAUAUACAUGUCCGCAUGAUAAGCCAUGAGCCAUCCAUCACUGACAAGUGGGGAGAGAGAGAGAGAGAGGUUGAGCAAAACAAGGAGGCUGGGAAGGCUUUCAAUUCAUUGAUGGGAUCAUGAAAGGGAGGGCGUGGACAGUAAGUAGGGUUCAUAAAUGGCCUUUCAUCCAACACCCAUCAAAGGAGGACGAUUCAAUGGUGGACGAGUAGAGUGACCUUAAAUGCCUGAAAUCCCUCCCAAGACCGUACGGACGGCGUAGGGCUGGGAUCGCCUCCAAUUAUUGUACGGGCGCAGUUAUGAUGGAGGAUUCAAAUCCAGCGUAGUGGGUUGGACCCUGUACGGGCGAUAGGGAACGGGCCCCAUUGUAAUGGACGGCUAUGAUGUGGCAAUUGGAUGGUGACUUUGAAGGCGUGGUUGGAGAGGAUCUAUCCUUCCGACUUGGAGAGUUAUCUACCAUCAAAAUCUAAGUCUUUGCUAAUCUAUUUUUGGCUACUUAAAUGGUUUCCUUUCUGGUGUUGCUAAAUUCAGUACAUGAAAAAUUGCAAAUUUAAUAAUAAUAAUAAUAAUAAUAAUAAUAAUAAUAAUAAUAAUAAUAAUAAUAAUAAUAAUAAUAAUAAUAAUAAUAAUAAUAAGCUACUGGGUUAAAAGGAUACAUCUUUUAAAUGAGAUUAGGAAUUCCAAAGGGGAGAUGACAAAGCUCAAAAGAAAUAGUUAGGAAGAAAUGAGCACAAAUAGAAAUUAAGAAACAUGAGAUAAAUAUAAAAGAAAAUAGGAUUGAUUAUAUGAUUAAUUAACAAGUAGUCAGUGAAUUCUAUCAUCUUUUCUCCUCCAAUAAUUUGUUUCCUAUGUCAACAGAUGAAAUCACCUUUAGAAAAUGAACCACAGAAAAAUGCAAUUAGCAACACAUAAAUAAUUUGUUUCAUAAAAUAGGAUUAUGUUUCAAGGUGAGUAUAGUUUGAUCAAUCAAGUACAACACUAGAUAAUUUGUGAUCAUCAAUUGAAUUCUAGUUUCGAGAGGAAACAAUUGCAAGGCCAUGCAAUGAAUUCUAGAGAUUUGCGAUGGAAGAAGACCAACGACGUCCAUAAAGGAUGAAGAAAGAGGCUUUGAUAGCAAAUCUAACUACAAAUGACAAAACCGUCUCAUUUCAUGGCAGCUCUAAUGCACCUCGUGACCGUCUUCCUCCCACAACCACACCAUUAAGUGCCGUGAAUUCAUGAACUCGUUCGAGUGGGUGAGCAUUCAUGAGCAUGCAUGCAUGCUCUAACCCCUCGUAUUCUCACAAACAAUGAAAGAAACGAAAGGAGCUAUGCUUACACAAACAACAGCCUCCACCGCCUCCAUGAAAUAAAUGGCCAAAGAAGCAUAAAUAUACUCACCAAUGCCAACAACCACAAUAAAUUGGACUCUCUCUCUCUCUCUCUCUCUCUCUCUCUCUCUCUCUCUCUCUCUCUCUGGCCAUGAAGUCAUGAGGCCUUCUCUAACAUUUUUGUGUCAUAAACUCUAGUAAGUAUACGACAAGGCAUGAGAAGUCGAUAGACACUCACGUCCAUGCCACAUUGAAGGUUUUGAUGGGUCAACUUUGAGAAGCCUUUGAAUGGUUAAGGUUAUGUAAUAAUAUUAGUUCGAUUGUGAUGUACCAAAUGAACUCAUCAAAGAUGGAAACUCCAUUGCAUAGAUUUUUUGUACCAAACUCACUCGGCAAAAAUCAAAAGUUUAAGUUCUCAUUCGAUAAAUUUUAGAAGAUGUCAACUACUUUACGUAGUAAAUAAUUUUAAGUGUUGAUAAUAACACUUAUCUUUCGAUAAAUUUAUCAUUCACUAAAAAAGAAAAAAAACUUUACGAGGUUUUUCUCUUAUAUUCAAAAUAGUAGUUCCAAAGGUAAUAAUGAACAUGUAAAAUCCUAAAUAAUCCCAUUAAGAAAUGUGAGAAGAAUUGAGUUGAUUUAUAAUAUUAAACAACUCUAUUAUCAUUAACUUGACUUUAAGGUUUUUGUUAAUAGAACUAAGUUGUGUGUAUAUUUUCUCACCAUUAUGAUGAUGAUGAUUUUUCUUUGUGGAUUUGCAUGAUGAAAUUAUGAUUAUUUUGUGAGUACUACACCAAAUAGACUUGAAAAAUAAUUGUGUUAAAUAAAAAAAAUAUCAUCCUUAUAUAGUUUCUAACAUUAGAACAUUGAUUAGGGUUUCUUCCAUCAUUAGCUCAGUUUUCAACUUAGUGUUAUUAAUAAUUACAUAAUAAAAAUCAGUUGAAAAAUAUAUUAAUCGAGUUAAUUAAUUUUCAAAUCUAAGUUACUUAUUGAUUUCAAAAUUAGUCUACUAAAAAUGAAGUUAAUAUGCAAUUUUUGCCAACCAUCCUUUUGUUUCCAAAUAAGCUUUUUUUAAUGUUUUUCUUGACAUUUACAUUUCCAAUUUUAUCGUAUAAAAUAAAGACUUUUAUAUAAUUAUAUAAAGACCAAAAUACCCUCCACAUAUGUCAGUAAAUAUGAGUUCAUUGGUGUCAUUUGCUAUGAACAUCGGGCUAAAAAUGUCAUACAAAAACCCUCGACUCCAUUUAAAAGCAUGCCGGUUUCAACGGCCGUCGUUCGAGAGGACCAUGAACGUUGCCUCCGCCCACCCUCUGCAGUCCGCCCUCCUCUGCCUCCUCCGCCAGCGCAAGCGCAUCCGAUCCUUCGACCAAAUCCACGCUCUGCUCCUCACGUCCGGCGUCACCAAGGACUCCUUCGUGGCCGCCGAGGUCGCCGCCCUUCUUCCUGCUUUUGUGGAUCCUCCCGCGGCCUACUCAGCCGUCAAGCACAUCCACGGCGUCCGCCGCUACCAGUUCCCCCUGCUCUUCAACUCGUUGAUCUCCGGCUAUGCCAGGAGCAAGCACCCACACCUGGGCAUCGUCGCGUAUAAGCUUAUGCUCGCUGACAGCGUCUUUCCCGAUAGGUACACCUUCCCGAUCGUUCUGAAAUCUUGCAUCAAGUUCUUUGGGAUCGGCGAAGCCAGGCAGCUUCAAGGUGCCGCAGUUAAGCUGCGGUUCUCGUGCGAUCUGUUUGUCCAGAAUGCAUUUGUUCAUGUAUAUGCAGUGUGUGAGGAAUAUGGUGAUGCAGGUCUCCUGUUUGACGAAAUGCCCAUUAAAGACGUGGUCUCCUGGACCAGUUUGAUCUCGGGAUAUGUGAAAGGUGGAUUAUUCGGAAAAGCUCUGCAAUUGUUUUCUCUGAUGGAUGUGGAGCCGAACAUUGCAACUCUAGUUAGCAUCAUCGUCGCCUGUGGGAGAUUGGGGGCUUUGAAUGUGGGCAGGGCAAUACAUGCAUUGAUAUUGAAGCAUGACUAUGGGUUGAGUCUGGUCGCUGGAAAUGCCCUUCUGGAUAUGUACUUGAAGUGCGAGUGUUUGGAGGAGGCCAGACAGAUCUUUGAUGAACUUCCUGAAAGGGACAUAGUUUCAUGGACUAGUUUUAUUAGUGGGUUAGUGCAAUGCAAGCUUCCCAAGGAAGCUAUGGAUGUUUUCAAUUCCAUGCAGGCUUCUGGAGUGGAGCCAGACAAUGUCACUCUAUGUAGUGUUCUGUCAGCUUGUGCGAGCUUGGGGGCAUUGUCUUCUGGGAGAUGGGUCCAUGAGUACAUAGAGCGAAAGGGCAUUCAGUGGGAUGUUCAUCUAGGGACCGCAAUGGUUGACAUGUACUCUAAGUGUGGAUGCGUAGAUAUGGCAGUGCACAGCUUUCAUGAGAUGCCACAUAAGAAUGUUACCUCGUGGAAUGCAUUGCUUGGUGCCCUAGCCACUCAUGGUCAUGGUAAUGAAGCUCUCAAGUACUUCGAACAAAUGGCGGGAGUUGGUGUCAUUCCUAAUGAGGUUACCUUUGUAGCUAUUCUUUGUGCAUGUUGUCAUUCUGGCUUAGUAAAAGAGGGUUGUCAUAUGUUUGAUUUGAUGACUAAAUCCUACAAACUUGUGCCAUGGAUAGAACACUAUGGAUGCAUGGUUGAUUUGCUUGGUAGAGCUGGGUUCAUAUCAGAAGCUUAUGGACUUGUUAGAUCCAUGCCAAUUAGAGCUGACACUUAUGUAUGGGGAGCUUUACUGAGCGCUUGCAAAGCUCAUGGAAAUGUGGAACUUUCUCAAGAAAUCCUAUGCCACCUUCUUGAGCUGGAGCCUUCUGACAGCGGCGUGUAUGUGCUCCUCUCUAACAUAUUUGCUGCAGAUUGUAGGUGGGCAGAUGUAACAAGGGUGAGGAGGCUGAUGAGGCAGAGCAGUGUAAAGAAAGAAACAGGAACCAGUAUUGUCGAGGUGAAUGGUGAAGCUCAUGAGUUUAUAGUUGGAGAGUUUCUCCACCCAUUGAAGGAGGACAUUUUGCUAGCCUUGUGUACUCUAGAUAAACAAUUGCAACAUGGUGACCUAUAGCAGGGAUUCAAAACUAGUGGAAGGUUGUGCAGGCUCUCGAAAACUCUUUCCAGGUUUGACUCAAGUAACUUGCACCUUCAGCACAACAAGGGCAACAGAAGAUAAACAGAGCUCACAGUCGACUAUAUUCCGCGAAUGUAUCAUGGUUCAAGUCUGCUGAUAUAAGCAUUCAAAAGAAAGAAGAUAAGCACAAAGUUAUGUCUACUGAAGCUGGAAGUCCUGUAAAAAAUUUAUGCAAGUGGGAGUUGAUGAGUUAUUGAAAGUUGGGCAAUCGACAUGCUGAUGUCCCAAAUAUUUGGGUAUGCAUUGCCAGGAAAGAAGGUGAGAUUUGUUUAUGAAUGUUUUAGCAGUAUAUUCAGAAAAACAAACUCUCACCAAAUUUUUCUUCCGAAAUUAUUCUAGUAUUGUCAUCAUAGUGCACAAGGCAUCGUAAACAUAAUCCAUCUAUAAUUAUCUCCAGAACUGGUAUGGUAGGUCAAUGUAACGUUUUGAUUAUUUUAUUUUGCUCCAUAUUUUUUGUAACUAUAUAUGUCUUUCCCAUUUAAGAAUUAGUUUUAUAUCUUUUUAAAUGCAAAACAUUUAAAAUUAUAGAGUCAUUUUUUGUUGAUCUGCUAUUAUGUAAAAAGCAAUUUAACUCAUAGCUGAUCUGAUCAGCAUGUGGUUGAUAUUUUGUAAAGCCCUUCUAAUUUUUGGAAUCUCGAAUCUUUCACUUGGUAUUGCUAAUGAACUUCGGGAUCCAUAGUGAAGUUCUCAGCAGAGCCUAUAAUGCUUUAGGUUUUUAUUUUGACACAUCCAUUUUCAAGCCCAAUGGAGUAUGAAACUGAGCCUUGUCUUAUUCGAUCAAUUUUCUGUUAACAUGUUAAUCGUAUACAGUGGAACGUGGUCUUAUAUGUAUUUUUUUCUUGAAACAUGUUAUGUAUAUAAUUAAUUUUCAAAGAAUGCAAUUUCAUUUUUGACUCUUUUUAUUUGGAUUGGAUUUGAUACUCUAGUUGCUAAAUGUUUGCAAAAAUCUUCUAACAGCAGUUAUGGUUAUCAGGCAAUUCCACGUACUAACGCUAUGUUUCUUGAUAUAUGCCUGGACUUUUCCAUGUGGUAUAAGUGAAGGACUUUUGUUUAAGCCAAAUAGCAUUAUGCUUGGUAUAAACAUGACAUUUCACCAUCAAAAUGCAAAUACAAAAUUUACCAGGUAGGAUGAUAAAACAGACUUGUAAACAUAGGAAAAUUUUGUAGUACGCAUCUUAUCAUGCAUAGUAUCAUAUGUCAUCAUGAAAAUUCAGCUUUUUGCAUGGCUCCACCAUAAGUCUCCCCUAAUGAGUAUUGACUUACUCUCAAACAAUUGCAGUCAUCACGUCCAUCCACUGACAGCUUGGUACCUUUCAAUCAAGAAAAGAUUCAUGAGUCCUUGUACAUGAAUUUAAUCAUAGCUUGUUUUAUUUCUUAACACAAACAUUACAAAAUGCCAACAAAUGGAGUUGACACUAAUUUGUAUGUUUUGUCAAAGCCACAAUUUUUCUUGAUUAAGUUUUUUCUGCUUCCUUCCUAUCUAAGGUUCCACAUUUGAACAAUUAAAGAUUAGAGCUUAGAUGUCGCCCUCUUGACAUUAGAAAGUUAAUGCUAUUCUACAGAAAUAUUUGUAGAAAAUAAUUUGUGGCUUCCAAAUUUAAAGAAUCUUAAGUAGAAUGAACAAACUUAUUUUGUCAUCAUAAACAAUAUAUUGGGAUUUAAGUAAUCGCUCGUGGAUGAUAUUUCAGGAUGCAGUACUAUAAGGGCAUGAUGUACAAGUAUGUAUGGUAAUUGAUGUCUCAUGGACGAUAUAUUUCAGGAUGCAGUGCUAUAAGGGCAUGAUGUACAAGUAUACAAGGCAAUUGAUGUUUUUAUAUUCUUCUUACAGGAAUAAGCAAGGUAGGUUAAGAUUGUCAUGGAAGAAAUGUGAAUCAUAUUCUAUUUAUUGAUCGAAGAGCUAGGCCUUGUACACGUUUUAAAAUCCUGAUCUAGUUUCCCUACACUAUUACCUUUCAGGGUUGAACAACCUACAAAUUGUUUUAUUGAGGCCAAGAAAGAGGUAAUGAUGGAGGCAUUGGGAAAUAAUGGAUAAUUCUAUGUUCACAGACUUUGGUCAUGAAACUAAGCCGCAGCCUGCUCAUGUUGUCCUAGGCUUAUGCACCGCUCAUAGUUUCUGAACCAUAAUUCAUGUCUGACAUUUGGCAAACAGUGUUUGGUAUCAACAGGAUGCUUUUGCAUUUUACUCUUUUAGAGGAUCUAGGUAGAUGCUGUUGCAUUUGUGUACUCUUUAGUGAGUUUAGGUAGAUGCUUUUGCAUUUGUGUUCUUUAUAGGAUCUGGAUAUGCACAAAGCACAUCCCAAUUUGGAAAGCACAGUGCAAUUCCAAAUGAUGGUUCCCUGGACAUUGAGUCAGGCACUAUAUAUAUAUCUGGUGAGCUAAGUUAGAUAAUUUGCAUGAGUUAGUUGAACCCUAUUAUUGUUCUGAUGUACCUUCUUCCACCACAUCCAUUCUCCCUCUGGCAGUUGAAGAACAUCGCAGCUACAGGAUCCCCUAGGUUGUAAACUGCUGCAAAAUCCCUUGUGCUGAAGUUUUGUCUCCAUCCAGGCGCAUAGAUGGUUUGGCGGACGGACUGCCGGAACAACACAAACACGAACCGGUGGAUUCCAGCGGUCGGCCGUGGACUCUCAUAGGAGACAAUUUCGUUGCCUAAAACACAAGAUCAGAAUUCAGAACAAUUUUUAUUGGUAAAAGAUGACAGAUUUAUACUCAGUGAGCUUGAUUCUUGGGCUUUGAAAUAUUUAUCUCUAACUUGCUCAGUAAGAAUUUUAGUUUUCGUCGACAGGUUUUGAAUGUUUAGUAUGUGAACUUACGAGGCAUGAAACAGCUAGUUAACAAAGUUGUCAUGAAGCUAAGGAAGCCAGAUAGCUUGACAAGAUAAUAUACCAGCAAUGCAUCGCAACCACAGAUCUGUUGCAAUUUUGAGUUAAUUGCUAUGGAAGUCUAAUUCCUCAUCAAGUCUUUAGGCAGAGGAGAUCAUGGGCAUGUUUCACUUCUUGGUCACUGAUCAACAAGUCUUUAGCAUGGACAGGUGCUGAAACUCUUCCCUAUUUUUAGUAAAUUUUGUAGACCAAGAAAAAUCUGUGGUCUUAUUUUCUGACGAUUUCUGAUACAUUUUCAAUUACUUAUAACCUUGAAAAGGCAACAACAGCAAUCAGUAGUAGUGUCCUAAGUAUCUGAGAUAGAUUACAUGGGUUUUUCCUGUCAUCGGGCAGAGGAAGAAAGAUAGCUUAAAAAGGAUGAUGGAUCCUUGAUUAUGAGCCACAAACUUUUUCAAUUAAUCUCCUUUCGUAGGAAUAUAUAUUGCAAGAAGUUUUUACAAAAUCCUUGAAAUUUAUCCGAAGAAGCUUAAUCGAAUUACACAUAGGCUUUCUUUUUUGCGUUACAAUGCUAUGAUUGUAGUUUUCUAUUGUUUCCAUUUAAAAGCUCCUCUUUAUUAUUGCAGGUACUUUAUUCCGAGAUUGAUAACAUGCUAAUUUCAACCGGUGGUCCAUUUAGUCACAAAUAAAUACUUUGCAUAUGAACAUUGUGUUUUCCGCAGAAAAAAAAUGUAUGAUUUAUGAGGUCUGCAUAUAAAUGCAUGUCUUGUAAGAAAAAAUUCAUGGUGGUUUGUUGUCACUCACCAUAAGUGGCGUUUGUUGUCUCUGGGAUGUCUGUCACCAACCUAUCUCAGACGACAAAGAAAAAAACAAAGGAUUACUAGCAGCUGCUAAUGUUCCUCAAUUGGAUGAAGAAGAAGAAAAAAAAAGUGGGGGAUUACUUCCAGAUUUCUUGCAAGUUGAUCUUACCAGUGCAGGUACUCUCUCUUUGUUGGAUUGCUAGGGCUUGGUGCAUCAGGAUCCACCAUCACCUGUAAGACUAGUAUUCAAUGUUAGCAUCUGCAAACUCUCUAAACCUUAUUUGACAUGAAGAAGAAGAAGAAGAAGUAAUCAAUCAUCAAUCCAAAUUCUUCUUUCUGCUAGUAGUGCAGCAUAGAAUCCUAAUUAUUAUUCUGAGUUAUCAAUUCUGACCAAAUUGGAUGUUAUUCUUUUAUCAUCUCACAUGGAUUGACCAUUGAAAAGAAUAAUUCACUGCCUCUGGAUGUUCUUCUUCUAUGUUUCUGGCUGUAAUGGGAUGAUCUUUUGCUCCUCUCGUCAACAAAGCUGAAAAGAUGAGGAGUUUGGUUCUCAUCAUCAUCCAAAGGCUAAAAGGACGGCCAAGCUAAAAGAACAAAAAGUCAAAACAGUCUUAUCAUCAAAAGACUGCAGAAAAAAGCUUCAACAUUCUCUCCACUUGUGUCCUUUGUUCUGCCACUAGCGGACAAACCUACCUCCAGUUUUGGCCUAUUCUAACGUUUGUUCCCAUUGGAUUAGAUUGCGGUGGGAUGAGACUCUUGCAGCCAACUCAAAUCUUUGACUUCCCAUCGUUGUUCAUUGUUCGACUCAGAAGAUUUAAGUCAACUAACGGUAAAUCUAACGGUAAAUCUAACAAGUGGAGGUGACGAUACUCACAAGCGUGUAAAGGUUUCUCGUGUUGUGUCCUCGCAUCUCCACUCGCGGUUCGGUGGCCACCAUCGAGGGCUUGAGCUCGGACCCAUUCGUCAAUUCCUUGUUGUAGGUUAUCUUCAUCGUCGCGGACUUGACGAAUGGGUCCAACACGUCACCCACGACAUUACCAACGACGAGGGCGUCCCUCGACAUGAUCGACCACAGCAGAAGAGAGCUUCUCGGUAAGUCGGUAACCAAAGCCGAGGAGAUCGAUGGCAAUGGUGGUGGAGGGGGGGGUGGGAGGGGAUUGGUUAUAUAGAAACCUCAUCAUGGUCGCGGAAUCCAUUUGUGAUGGAUUCUGAAGGUGAAUAAAAUCUUGAGCGAGUGACGCAUGGCAACGAGGAAAGGUGGAUGGAUUGCCUUUUGACUUGGCUUGCUCUAAAUGUCUCCCCCGCAAAUCCGGCCACGACGGCAUCACUGGAUUUGGCCCCCGUGCUUCGAAUAAGGAGAGUUGUAAGCUCGCGGGGCAAGUAAGAACCUAAUGGCUUUUGCUUUCGCGGAUGCUUUGGACCCCAACGAGUCUUCGGAGGUGUGGAGAUCAUGGCGAAUGACUUCAUGUCAUGGCAUCCAAGUUUCAUUCUUCUUCCUCUUGGCGGCAGCACUUGUAGCUUAGCUAAGUGUGAUUUGACAAUGGUGUUGCGUAGAGAGAGAGAGAGAGAGAGUGAAUGAACAUGUAUUUGAUACUGUCGGCAACAUGUACUCACUCUUCUGAAUAGAUUCUUCAUGAGAAGAUUGUUGAGCUCAAGAAUAGGCAGGCUGGGUGGUCAACAAGAUGCUUUGCUGGUUAUAUUCUCCUAGCAACCUCUUUUCUAAAUGCUGCAUCGAUCUUUUGCUGAAGCUGAAUCCAUAUCUUGCCUGCACUGAAGUGUAAGUGUAUCUGAGAGACUGAGACCGUUCACCAUUAAAUGGAAGGAAGAAUGAUAUCCACACGAGAGAGAGAGAGAGAGAGAGAGAGAGAGAGAGAGAGAGAGAGAGAGAGAGAUCAUGGUUUGGUCAUCAUCCUAAGAUGCUUGGAAAUUGUGGGCAUGCCUUUAGGACCCUUUCUCCAUGCUUGCUUUCUCAAUAUGCUCUCUGCCAAUGGAUGCUUCUUGGAAACUGCAUUCUCUUGAACUGGGAGAUUGUUUUGUUCACUCUCAUGUGGCUUAAUAAGCUCAUAAGCAAGUUGAUUUAUAGAUCAUCUGCCGACACAUUAUUCGCGGUAUAGGUUUCAUGUAUCAGUUCAAGUUAGAAUCUUCAAAUAUAUUCAUGAUUUAUAUGUUGUUUGUGAUUGGUGUCACCUCUCCUUGUUCAACAUGCAUUGGGCAUGUGGUCAGUGUAGUCCAAAAUUUAAUACAAGAUGGAAUGGAUUAGAAUCUACAGCUAGAAGAAACUUAUGAGCCAUACCAUACUUCAAGAAUAGAUCAUGAAGUGGAAAAAGGAGAGUGUCUGCAGUAAUAUGGAAGGAGAAAAUAGCAUCUUGUACAAACAAGUAAAGUUCUUCAUACCUCUGAGCAACUGUGGAGUGAGAAGAAGAAGAGGACAAUCGAGUCAUACAAUGAAUGUUUGCCAAUUGAAGAAAGCCAAAAAAGUAGGUCUGAGCAUUUUGAAUAAGGUUGGGUUCUCCUUUUCUUCUUAUCUUCGUUUCAAAGCUAAAAAGUAUUGGAACCAAGAUAUGCAAUGAAAGCAUUCUAGAACCACUCCCUGUCACCAAUAUAUUCUCAUUUUGUUCAUCUCAGGCUUAAAUAAGCAUGACUUGAAUCAUAUGGCAGUGGCAGUGUUGUUUCCUAUCAAAGACAUCAAAAAAAGAAAGAUUGCAACAGUUCCAUUGAAUAGAAGACAAGGUUGCAGGGGAUCAGUCAUGUAUCAAGGUGAGGCAUUUAGACUGUUCACAUGUGGUACAAUAACCAUUUGGUGCUGCCUUUUGACUUCCCACUCAAAUAGAACAUCUGAUGACUGGGCUUCAUCAGAUGCAACUGGAUUGGCCUCUGCUGAACAGAUCUGAAUAAAUGAUACAUUCAAGAAGAUGCUGUCCAAGAUUUGGUUGUCCAAGUUCAGAGUAACAAGUUUAAGUCUGCUGUUAUAUUUGGAGUUUCAUACCCAGGAAGAGGUUGAUUCUGUGCUUAGUUUACAUCAGUACAUGUACCUGGAUAAAAAGAUAUUAUAUGAAUGCAAGUAAAGGAAAAAAGAAUCCAACAUCUAACUUUCCAUGGACUCUAAAGUAAACAAAGUGAUCCAGAACAAAGGGAAGGUGAUUGCAUGGGCAUCUCUUAUAGGUAUUGUGAAGCUGACAACAGUCAAAAUGAUAGAAAAGACUGAAACAAUCAACUGAAGCCUUAACCUGCAGCUGAGAAUCUCAGUGACUUGUUCUAUCUAGCUUUCCCAAUCUAGAUUAUACACAGUUGAUAAGGAUUAGUGGUUCUUUGCAUGUACCUAUAACUAGAUCUAAUAGAUAUUCCAUGUCGACUCCAUAAUCACUGUUUAAUCAUUGUUUCACAAGGUAAAUCUCAGUUAGCAUGUCAAGAUCAUACUAUUCCAAGUAUUUAGUUAAUGAAAACCUGGUUUUAUUAUUCACCUGACAAAGUUUUGAUUUCUCAACACCCAUUCUAUUUGAGUCUACAAGCAGCAACAAUAUGAAAAUAGACAAAUACUGCAUAUAGAACAUGAUAAUAUCUAACAGAUUUACCUAACGUUCCCAUUUCCCCAGUCACAGAAAACCAGUAAUGAUGUGCAAAUCCUAGCUAUGAUAUGAUGCCUGGAUAUUCCCAAGAUGAUAUGCAAAGGCAGUAUUCUAUUGGACUUUGUGAUCCAACCAUAUACUCCCAUCCACAGGUUCCCUUGUCAGGGAACAAAGUUCCCAAUUGCAAUAUACAGGUGCCAUUAGGAAAGUUGACAUAUUCUCAGAGAACAUUACUCCACCUAGAAGUUAUAAAAUCACAUCCAUCAAACUCAUUUAGGCAUCAGAUGAUGGCUCUCCAAAUGCAUAUCAAUACACCAAAAGGUAAUCUUCUGUUUAUUCUGUACAAAUAAACAGAAGAUUACAGUGAUCACUUGAGCCAGUCUAAAACAUUUUCUUGCUCACACUUUACCAGUUAUCAAUGAGUUAACAGUCAGCAAGUUUCAUUUGCAUGUAUACUUUAGCAGAUGCCUGCUUGGAUAGAUAUAAAUAUGAGCUUCUUUAGCAGAUACCUGUUUGGAUUAAUCGAUAAAUCGAAUUGCCUACACUUCGAAUUGGCACAAAUUUGGCACAAUCCUCAAGAAGUUUACAUGUCAAGUUGACAACUAACCAAAAUAUUUGACAAAUAGUCACAGAGCCUUCUUGAUUAAACUAAUAAUGAGUAGAACCAAAUGAUCUAAAGAUGGUUUCUUUUCCUCUCACUUAAAAUGUUGACCAGCAAAGUAAAAUUUUGAACCAAAAUCUAAAGCCACAGCAGAACCAAAACAAGAAAUAAAAAACUUACCCAUAUUUCAGAUCAACAAAACAAUGAGAAAACUUAAUUUUCUCAUCAAUAUAUACUGAUCAAACAAUCUUGAUUAAUUUUCAAUACCUUGAGCUGGGUUUUGUUGAUUGGCAUGGACCAAAUGGACUGAUUUGAUGUAUCGUCCAAUUGAGAGAAAAAUGACAUGAUCCCACAACACACACAUCUCCCGCAGAACAGGAAUCAAAAGGAGUCCCUCCUCCAAAACAAAAUAACUUGGAAGCUCUCAAUUUGGUUGGAGUGGAAAAGAAAGUGGAAUUGCUUCUCCAUCAUACUUGCUGUUGAUGCACAGAACUCUUAAGGACAACUGCAAAUAACACCAAGGUCCCAGAAGUGUUAGCUAAACAUGUUGAUCAGGCCUUUUGCUUCUCAUAACUGGGAGGGAAAAAAGAAAACAAAAACCCACACACACGACCUACAUAAAAUUGGAGCAUAUUCAAGUCAACCUAACCCAUACCUCUUCCACAAUUAUGAGAACUAGAUAAGCCAUCUCUCAACACUAAGACCACGGAUUCACAAAUUAAUAAAGUAGACUAUCCAUUAGAAAAUAGUAAUGUAUUUAUUAGAUGUCAAUGCAAUUCUAAGAUCAUUUUUCCAUGUCAAACAGCCACACGACAAUCUUAAAGCAACAACACAAAAAAAAGAAAUCCAAGAAACUAAGAAGGAAAAAAAAAACUUUAUACAAGCGGAUAUAAAUCCAAGCUUUUCCAUUCCAAUCUCUAGCAUGUGAUGAGGCCCGAAAGGUCAGUUACCCAAAUGUAAAUAAAUUGGAUUGCUAGAGAACAAAAUGUGCUGUCCGGAAUUCCAUAAGCAGCUAGGUGCCUAAAAUCUCAAUCUGCAGUUUCUUUGCGAUGGGGCUAACCACAACUGAAGACAUGGCACAGGGCAAUAUAAAAGCUGCAGUUAUUUGAAAGAUCUAAAACAGUGGCCACAGGUAACCAAGAGAUAUCAAUCCUUCUUUUCUGUGCUCUCAUUUUCUCAAAUUGUACAUCAGAGACUGGAAAGGUUCCCGUAUCUUAGUACCAUGCCUCUCUCACUGCCUGGGAUGCUUGGUGCAAACUCUGAAGCCCACGACCCAAUGACGCAAUCAUCGGAAUAGAGGGCAAUGCCUCAGCAGCACACUCAAUCCCAUCUCCAUAAGCCAGAAGUGCAGAGCAAGCAACCAUGCUGCUACCGAAGGUAGCCAAUGACGCAAACCUCACUGGCCGGACACCCCUCCUCCUCAUAAUCUCGUAGAAUGAUGUCCUCAUAGCCAACAAGCUUGUUCUCUCAGCUGAUGCUAUCAUAGUGUGUGUCAUAGCACGAAUUUUUUCAGCUGAUGCUGUGAACUUCAAGGUGGAGGUCUUGGCUCCAGCACUUGUAAGCCCAUGUGUAAGAAAAUGUGAUGAGCCAAGGAUAUUACCAAGUCCAAUAGUAGCUGUCCUUUGCAACUGUGCCAAGCUGAGUUUCAAAAUAGCAGGAAUUUUGUAUGUUGCAAGCUUAACAAUUGUAGAUGCAGGAACAACUUUUGAUAGUGAUGAUGCACCAAGAACUGCUGUAGCUCCUGCACCAAUUGUUACCACAGGCCUUUCUGCUAAAAGGCCCUUUCUUUUCAUGUUCUCAACUACCUUUUCAUCAUUUGCAUCAGGAUCAUCAUCAUGAUAUUUCGUAAAACAUGUAUCAGUUGACUCUGCAACAUUGAGGGGUACAGAUGUAUUCCAGUGCCUCCUGAGACCAGCCAAGCAACCCGCAUCAACUAUGGCCACCACAGAUCCAAACUUCUUUGCUUGGCUCCUAAGAGCUUGCACAAAAAGAACAUGGGAUUUCUCUUCAGAAGGGAGCUCAAAAAACUCUAUUUCUGUUGAGUUGCUUUUUUUUGUUCUUUCCAUCGGAAAACGGGCAGAAUUGUUUAAAGCUAUCCUUAAACCCUCGACUGCAAUCCUGAAAAUAUAUACACUGGAUAAAGUUUGAGUAUUAACUGGCUUUCCAUCAUUGAUAUCAGCAAGCAUUCUCUGAACAGAAACCAGAGCUUUUCCGAUUGAUGGAAGUUCAAUGAAUAUGUCAUGUAGAUCUGUGAGUAAAGGAUAAAAAGAUUGUGCAAACAGAGGCACUUUAUAAUUAAAAUUUGGCUCAUCUUUUAUAGGUACCACUUUGGAUUUUGGGUCAGGUUGAACUUCUUUUGAGAUUAUUAGAUCAAGAAAUGGAAUCACUGACUUAAUCAUCUCUGACUUAAGUGUGUCAUCUACACAGAUUCUUUUCGAACUUGAGCAGAGAGCUGAAGUAACUUUUCCAGGAAGCAAGCCACUUGUUUGUAUGUGCAACCCUGAGCCCUGACCUCCAUCUUUAUCAUUGUCUUGAUUAGUUCCAGCAUAUCGUUUGUCAUAUGGUGACUCAAGUAAUAUAAAAUGUGAAUCUGUCUCUUCUGCAGCUCUCUUUGCAGCCAAGAAAUGGCCAUAAAACCCAACUCCAAAUAUCUCUUGUAAGACCUGACACCCAGCAAAACUUUCAUAAUGAUCUUUGUUGAUUUUUUCUAUGAAACAUCUUUUAAGCACCCCAAAUGAUGAAGUCGGCACAUUGUCUACUCGAUCAUUUUUUAAGCACUUCUCCUC
Molecule: long non-coding RNA, 19054 nt
Filed under: Musa acuminata (dwarf banana)
Lineage: Eukaryota; Viridiplantae; Streptophyta; Magnoliopsida; Zingiberales; Musaceae
Description: long non-coding RNA (MACU_LNC001059)
Source: RNAcentral